UUUUAAACCAGCUAAGUCUGCAGCCAAACAUUGUCCUGCAUCAUUAGCAUGAAAUAUUCUAAUGCAUUUAUUAAUAAUUCAACAAUACAUCGAAAUAAAAAUCCAGAUAACAUAAAAAAUAAUUUUAUGAAGAGAAAUGGGAGAAAUGAUUGUUACAGUGGUCAAGAGUUUUCAUUGAAAAACUGUGAUAAUUUUCAUUUCCAAACAAUGAAUCUUGGGCAUUGUUUGAUAGACAUAGUCUUUAGACAUUUGCUUAAAAAUUUAUAAAAUAAUUGAUAUCUAACGAAGUCCAAAAUUAAAUUAAGGAAAUGAAAAUACUAAUCUAUAACUUUUUUGCUCUAUGAAUUAUUCUUAAUUAUUUCUUUUAAAUUAAAUUUAGUAAUUUUAAACUUUAUUUGUGAAAAAAAUAAGAAGCUUCAUUCUUUUUAUAAUGUCUUUAAUCAGAUAUCUCAUUUUGUAAAUUUUUUGCAUUUAGCUGAACAAGUCAAAAGUGUCCGCUGGUAACAGCUCAACAAAUAAAGUCUUGGCUCAACUGAUGUUAUUUCUUGACAAGAUUGGAAAUAAAUUAAAAACAAUGAUUUUCGAUCUUUGAAAUGUCUGAUCACUUUGAUGACAAUCCAGAUCCUGGUCAAAAUCCAAAGAAACCUGAAAAAUCCCCUGAAAGAAAAGACCCUCCUGUUCCUGGUCAAGAUCCUAAUAAACCUGAAAAGCCUCAAGGAAACCCUGAUGAGAAACCAUUGUAAAUAAAAAGUAUGUGAGUAAAUUACCUUUCAUACUCAAAAAAGAAGAAAUUACAAGAACAAAGUUAAGAAGAUGUUAGUUAGUUGUGAAGAAGACAUUCUGUUCAUUUUUAUUAUCAACGUAAUCCACAUAGUUUAAUAAAAAUUUAUUAAUUUUGUUAG
Non-coding RNA from Parasteatoda tepidariorum (common house spider), 902 nucleotides. Lineage: Eukaryota; Metazoa; Arthropoda; Arachnida; Araneae; Theridiidae. The record is from RefSeq and is a predicted model, not a curated record.